Molecule: ribosomal RNA, 492 nt
Filed under: uncultured bacterium
Lineage: Bacteria
Description: partial 16S ribosomal RNA
Rfam family: Bacterial small subunit ribosomal RNA
Source: RNAcentral
AUUGAACGCUGGCGGCAUGCCUUACACAUGCAAGUCGAACGGUAACACGUUAUCGGCUGCUGCCGACUGGCGGAGGGUUGAGUACUACUUCGGAACAUGCCCAGAUCUGGGGGAUAGCGGGGCGAAAGCUAGGCUAAUACCCCAUACGACCUAAGGCUGCAAACGGGGGACCGCAAGGGCUCGCCCGACCUGGGCCGACGGUGGGAGACGAUGUCGGUUUAGGUAGUUGGUGGGGUAAAGGCUUACCAAGGCGACGAUCUGUAGCUGGUCUGAGAGGACGAUCAGCCACACUGGGACUGAGACACGGCCCAGACUCCUACGGGAGGCAGCAGUGGGGAAUAUUGGACAAUGGGCGAAAGCCUGAUCCAGCAAUGCCGCGUGGAGGAUGAAGGCCUUCGGGUUGUAAACUGCUUUUGUUCGGAACGAAAAGGAUCUGGCUAAUACCUGGGGCACAUGACGGUACCGAAAGAAUAAGCACCGGCUAACUUCGUG